RNAcentral lists this ribosomal RNA (449 nucleotides) under uncultured bacterium. RNAcentral describes it as "partial 16S ribosomal RNA". It matches the Rfam family "Bacterial small subunit ribosomal RNA", at positions 29 to 523 of the family's 1533-position model. The record is from RNAcentral.
AACGAACGCUGGCGGCAGGCUUAACACAUGCAAGUCGAACGGAUCCUUCGGGAUUAGUGGCGCACGGGUGAGUAACGCGUGGGAAUGUACCCCUUGGUAAGGAAUAAUAUCUGGAAACGGAUACUAAUACCUUAUAAUGACUUUGGUCCAAAGAUUUAUCGCCAAGGUAUCAGCCCGCGUCUGAUUAGGUAGUUGGUGAGGUAACGGCUCACCAAGCCGACGAUCAGUAGCUGGUCUGAGAGGAUGAUCAGCCACACUGGGACUGAUACACGGCCCAGACUCCUACGGGAGGCAGCAGUGAGGAAUAUUGGACAAUGGGGGAAGCCCUGAUCCAGCCAUGCCGCGUGAGUGAAGAAGGCCUUAGGGUUGUAAAGCUCUUUCAAUGGUGAAGAUAAUGACGGUAGCCAUAGAAGAAGCCCCGGCUAAAUUCGUGCCAGCCGCCGCGGUAA